This 106-nucleotide ribosomal RNA is filed under the name Microcebus murinus (gray mouse lemur). The record is from RNAcentral. Lineage: Eukaryota; Metazoa; Chordata; Mammalia; Primates; Cheirogaleidae.
GUCUACGGCCAUACCACCCUGAACACGCCCGAUCUCGUCUGAUCUCGGAGCUAAGCAGGGUCGGGCCUGGUUAGUACUUGGAUAGGAGAAGGCAUAUUUGUUUAUC